This 468-nucleotide ribosomal RNA is filed under the name uncultured bacterium. RNAcentral describes it as "partial 16S ribosomal RNA". It matches the Rfam family "Bacterial small subunit ribosomal RNA", at positions 28 to 506 of the family's 1533-position model. The record is from RNAcentral.
GACGAACGCUGGCGGCGUGCUUAACACAUGCAAGUCGAACGGAAAGGCCCUGCUUGCAGGGUGCUCGAGUGGCGAACGGGUGAGUAACACGUGGGUGAUCUGCCCCUUACUUUGGGAUAAGCCUGGGAAACUGGGUCUAAUACUGGAUAGGACCAUGCUGUAGGUGGUGUGGUGGAAAGAUUAGUUUCGGUAAGGGAUGAGCUCGCGGCCUAUCAGCUUGUUGGUGGGGUAAUGGCCUACCAAGGCGUCGACGGGUAGCCGGCCUGAGAGGGUGGACGGCCACAUUGGGACUGAGAUACGGGCCAGACUCCUACGGGGGGCAGCAGUGGGGAAUAUUGCACAAUGGGCGCAAGCCUGAUGCAGCGACGCCGCGUGGGGGAUGACGGCCUUCGGGUUGUAAACUCCUUUCAGCCAUGACGAAGCCCUUGUGGUGACGGUAGUGGUAGAAGAAGCACCGGCUAACUACGU